GACGAACGCUGGCGGCGUGCUUAACACAUGCAAGUCGAACGCUGAAGCUUGGUGCUUGCACUGGGUGGAUGAGUGGCGAACGGGUGAGUAAUACGUGAGUAACCUGCCCUUGACUCUGGGAUAAGCCUGGGAAACUGGGUCUAAUACUGGAUACGACAUGUCACCGCAUGGUGGUGUGUGGAAAGGGUUUUACUGGUUUUGGAUGGGCUCACGGCCUAUCAGCUUGUUGGUGGGGUAAUGGCUCACCAAGGCGACGACGGGUAGCCGGCCUGAGAGGGUGACCGGCCACACUGGGACUGAGACACGGCCCAGACUCCUACGGGAGGCAGCAGUGGGGAAUAUUGCACAAUGGGCGGAAGCCUGAUGCAGCAACGCCGCGUGAGGGAUGACGGCCUUCGGGUUGUAAACCUCUUUCAGCACGGAAGAAGCGAAAGUGACGGUACGUGCAGAAGAAGCGCCGGCUAACUACGUG
This 472-nucleotide ribosomal RNA is filed under the name uncultured bacterium. RNAcentral describes it as "partial 16S ribosomal RNA". It matches the Rfam family "Bacterial small subunit ribosomal RNA", at positions 28 to 507 of the family's 1533-position model. The record is from RNAcentral.